RNAcentral lists this transfer RNA (77 nucleotides) under Burkholderiales bacterium. RNAcentral's name for it is "tRNA-His". It matches the Rfam family "tRNA". Rfam says of the family: Transfer RNA (tRNA) molecules are approximately 80 nucleotides in length. Their secondary structure includes four short double-helical elements and three loops (D, anti-codon, and T loops). The record is from RNAcentral. Lineage: Bacteria; Pseudomonadati; Pseudomonadota; Betaproteobacteria; Burkholderiales. RNAcentral also lists the same sequence under 4 other names.
GUGAUUGUAGCUCAGUUGGUUAGAGCGCCUGGUUGUGGCCCAGGAGGUCGGGGGUUCGAGUCCCCUCGUUCACCCCA